Molecule: transfer RNA, 75 nt
Filed under: Brucella intermedia
Lineage: Bacteria; Pseudomonadati; Pseudomonadota; Alphaproteobacteria; Hyphomicrobiales; Brucellaceae
Description: Ochrobactrum intermedium tRNA-Met
Rfam family: tRNA
About the family: Transfer RNA (tRNA) molecules are approximately 80 nucleotides in length. Their secondary structure includes four short double-helical elements and three loops (D, anti-codon, and T loops).
Source: RNAcentral
AGCAGGGUAGAGCAGAGGUAGCUCACCGGGUUCAUACCCCGGAGGUCGCCGGUUCGAAUCCGACCCCUGCAACCA